GAUGAACGCUGGCGGCGUGCCUAAUGCAUGCAAGUCGAGCGAACAGACGAGGAGCUUGCUCCUCUGACGUUAGCGGCGGACGGGUGAGUAACACGUGGAUAACCUACCUAUAAGACUGGGAUAACUUCGGGAAACCGGAGCUAAUACCGGAUAAUAUAUUGAACCGCAUGGUUCAAUAGUGAAAGACGGUUUUGCUGUCACUUAUAGAUGGAUCCGCGCCGCAUUAGCUAGUUGGUAAGGUAACGGCUUACCAAGGCAACGUUGCGUAGCCGACCUGAGAGGGUGAUCGGCCACACUGGAACUGAGACACGGUCCAGACUCCUACGGGAGGCAGCAGUAGGGAAUCUUCCGCAAUGGGCGAAAGCUUGACGGAGCAACGCCGCGUGAGUGAUGAAGGUCUUCGGAUCGUAAAACUCUGUUAUUAGGGAAGAACAAAUGUGUAAGUAACUAUGCACGUCUUGACGGUACCUAAUCAGAAAGCCACGGCUAACUACGUG
This 497-nucleotide ribosomal RNA is filed under the name uncultured bacterium. Its description in RNAcentral is "partial 16S ribosomal RNA". It matches the Rfam family "Bacterial small subunit ribosomal RNA", at positions 28 to 507 of the family's 1533-position model. The record is from RNAcentral.